RNAcentral lists this ribosomal RNA (406 nucleotides) under uncultured bacterium. Its description in RNAcentral is "partial 16S ribosomal RNA". It matches the Rfam family "Bacterial small subunit ribosomal RNA", at positions 30 to 526 of the family's 1533-position model. The record is from RNAcentral.
AUUGAACGCUGGCGGCAGGCCUAACACAUGCAAGUCGAACGAGUGGCGGACGGGUGAGUAAUGUCUGGGAAACUGCCUGAUGGAGGGGGAUAACUACUGGAAACGGUAGCUAAUACCGCAUACCAUCAGAUGUGCCAAGAUGGGAUUAGCUUGUGGGUGGGGUAACGGAUAACCAAGGCGACGAUCCCUAGCUGGUCUGAGAGGAUGCACAGCCACACGGUAACGGAGACACGGUCCAGACUCCUACGGUAGGCAGCAGUGGGGAAUAUUGCACAAUGGGCGCAAGCCUGAUGCAGCCAUGCCGCGUGUAUGAAGAAGGCCUUCGGGUUGUAAAGUACUUUCAGCGGGGAGGCGUUACCCGCAGAAGAAGCACCGGCUAACUCCGUGCCAGCAGCCGCGGUAAUAC